ACACUAGAUUUUUUAAAUGAGAAAUAUUAUAAUUUUUUUGUGUUUAACACUAUGGCAAUAAACGCAUAUUGUAAUAGGCUUUGCGGACCCGGGGGCGGUGCCCGGCGUCUCCACCAUUAUUUAAUUAUGGGGACGAAAUUAGUAUCGACGUGAGUAGUAAAGAAUUUGUUUUUGCUUGGGAAUGACAUCCUAAACUUUACGUUAAAAUGUCUUAAUAAAUGCUAAUGAUAAUUAUGCAUAUGCAUUAGCGUCAAAUGAUAAUUUUGAUGCUACUGCUGUAGCAGCUGCUGCUUAGUUUAAAGGCAAUUGUCUUAAAGCCUAGCAAAAGCUGAUGGGGUUUUGAGGGUUUCCUAGCAACAGAAAAUCCUCGUU
RNAcentral lists this transfer-messenger RNA (372 nucleotides) under Rickettsiales bacterium. It matches the Rfam family "Alphaproteobacteria transfer-messenger RNA". Rfam says of the family: Bacterial tmRNA, also known as 10Sa RNA or SsrA, is named for its dual tRNA and mRNA-like properties. Its role is to liberate the mRNA from a stalled ribosome. Lineage: Bacteria; Pseudomonadati; Pseudomonadota; Alphaproteobacteria; Rickettsiales. The record is from RNAcentral.